This 470-nucleotide ribosomal RNA is filed under the name uncultured Methanomicrobiales archaeon. Its description in RNAcentral is "bacterial SSU rRNA". It matches the Rfam family "Archaeal small subunit ribosomal RNA", at positions 869 to 1338 of the family's 1478-position model. Lineage: Archaea; Methanobacteriati; Methanobacteriota; Methanomicrobia; Methanomicrobiales. The record is from RNAcentral.
CGGGGGAGCACCACAACAGGUGGAGCCUGCGAUUUAAUCGGACUCAACGCCGGGAAACUCACCAGAUAAGACAGCUGAAUGAUAGUCGGGCUGAAGACUCUACUUGACUAACUGAGAGGAGGUGCAUGGCCGUCGUCAGUUCGUACUGUGAAGCAUCCUGUUAAGUCAGGCAACGAGCGAGACCCACGCCAACAGUUGCCAGCUCGUCCUCCGGGAUGGUGGGGACACUGUUGGGACCGCCUCUGCUAAAGAGGAGGAAGGAAUGGGCAACGGUAGGUCAGCAUGCCCCGAAUUAUCUGGGCUACACGCGGGCUACAAUGGGUGGGACAAUGGGUAUCGACACCGAAAGGUGAAGGCAAUCUCCUAAACCCAUCCGUAGUUCGGAUUGUGGGCUGCAACUCGCCCACAUGAAGCUGGAAUCUGUAGUAAUCGUGUCUCAAAAUGGCACGGUGAAUAUGUCCCUGCUCCUU